Stegodyphus dumicola is the source of this 416-nucleotide long non-coding RNA. The record is from RefSeq and is a predicted model, not a curated record. NCBI's taxonomy places the organism in Eukaryota, Metazoa, Arthropoda, Arachnida, Araneae, Eresidae.
CGAGGAUCCCAGCCAAGAAAUCUCUUUCUCUCAGGAAGCGGUUACAGUUUGUGUAGAGUUGGCCAAAUCUUUUCGAUUGCUUCUUCCGGUAAAGUAGCGACGUCGAAAAAGUGACCAGAUUGUUUUUAUUCUGUUUUGUUCGAAAAAGGUGUUUUGGAUUAUUGGUGGUGUUCGGCUUUUGACAGAGUAAUCUCCAUAUAAAAAAGGUUUAAAAGAAGGAAUAACUUCAUUUCUUCAAUAACAGAAGCAUCUACCGAAAAGCCACGUAUAAAAGAUACUAGACCAAAGGAUUAAAUACCUGCAUUCAUAAGGAAAUUUAAUCGAUGAAUUAAUUCCAAGCUUCUUUUCCCAGCGACAGAAAGGUUCGUUACAUUUUAUGAUUUUUUCAUAUAACGUAAUGCAGGGAUUUGCAACCA